UACAGAGGUCUCAAGCGUUGUUCGGAUUCAUUGGGCGUAAAGGGUGCGUAGGCGGCGCGGUAAGUCGGGUGUGAAAUCUCGGAGCUUAACUCCGAAACUGCAUUCGAUACUGCCGUGCUUGAGGACUGGAGAGGAGACUGGAAUUUACGGUGUAGCAGUGAAAUGCGUAGAGAUCGUAAGGAAGACCAGUGGCGAAGGCGGGUCUCUGGAAAGUUCCUGACACUGAGGCACGAAGGCCAGGGGAGCAAACGGG
Molecule: ribosomal RNA, 253 nt
Filed under: uncultured bacterium
Lineage: Bacteria
Description: partial 16S ribosomal RNA
Rfam family: Bacterial small subunit ribosomal RNA
Source: RNAcentral